CUUGGAUUUAGAAUUUGACUAGGAAAUAAGCCCGCACGUUGUUGCGGGAACCAACUGUUUCAGGUGUAGCUGCAUGAAGAAGACAUAUUUCAAGCGUAACUGCAUGAAUAAGACACAAAGUCAGAAUUUAAUUGUCUUUCUAUACCAUGGAGUGGUGCCAAAAGAUUAUUUUAUGGAGUUAUUGAUGAAAGAUCUGGAAAAUACUCAGUGGUGUUUUUUGCAACAGGCGUGCAGCAGCCAAAAGUAAGUUCCUUGAUGGGUUUCGUUCCUUCAUGUUCUGUAUUUCCAAUUGCCUUAAGCUACGGCGGGAUGGAUGAUGAUUACAACACGUUUAAGUUGAUGUCUUCUCAUAUUCGUGUAGAAGAAUAAUAUUUGCAACAUCGUUUGUCAUUCUUGAAGAAAGAGGAAAAUAUUAGUUUUAAAAAAGGGAAAAUUUCUAGUGCUCAGAGUUAUAUGUUGAUGGGAACCACUGAUCCAACAGGGACUCUAGAAAAGAAUAAAGUUUGUGUUCUUCUGUAUGUACAAUUUCUGCCAUUUUUUUAAUCCCUCCUGUUACACAAUUAGUAGGAUGAAACUGAAUGUUCAAGUA
This is a non-coding RNA of Malus domestica (apple), 589 nucleotides long. NCBI's taxonomy places the organism in Eukaryota, Viridiplantae, Streptophyta, Magnoliopsida, Rosales, Rosaceae. The record is from RefSeq and is a predicted model, not a curated record.